This 72-nucleotide transfer RNA is filed under the name Stegodyphus mimosarum. It matches the Rfam family "tRNA". Rfam says of the family: Transfer RNA (tRNA) molecules are approximately 80 nucleotides in length. Their secondary structure includes four short double-helical elements and three loops (D, anti-codon, and T loops). Further hydrogen bonds mediate the characteristic L-shaped molecular structure. tRNAs have two regions of fundamental functional importance: the anti-codon, which is responsible for specific mRNA codon recognition, and the 3' end, to which the tRNAs corresponding amino acid is attached (by aminoacyl-tRNA synthetases). tRNAs cope with the degeneracy of the genetic code in two manners: having more than one tRNA (with a specific anti-codon) for a particular amino acid; and 'wobble' base-pairing, i.e. permitting non-standard base-pairing at the 3rd anti-codon position. Lineage: Eukaryota; Metazoa; Arthropoda; Arachnida; Araneae; Eresidae. The record is from Rfam by way of RNAcentral.
GCCUCGUGGUGUAGUGGUCAACACGCUGGGCGCGUAUUCCAGAGGUCCGUGGUUCGAGUCCCGGCGAAGGCG